AUGAAUCUCCAUAAUAACUGUCAGCAACAGCUAUCGUGCUCAAAUUCUGCAAGGCCGCCAACAUUUUGGACCAUCUGUCCAACCUGUGUCACCAAAUAUCAGUACCACCAUGCAAUUUUGAAGAAAGCUGUCUGCUGCCAUAAUUGCUCGAAAGCCUUCAUAGCACAUGCUUUAACUGAGCAACAUGUUCCUUCUGGUCCAUAUCAACAGUUUGCUGAGCUGUGGAUAAGUGCAGGAGUAUUUUCAGAAAUUAGAUUGCUUCAGAAGUUCGAACCUGGGCAGAUAUGGGCUCUCUACAGUGACAUAGACAAGUUUCCGAAUUACUAUGUCUUCAUAGAGAAAGUUGAUCUCGAGAAUAAUGAAGUACAGGCAAGAUGGCUUGAAGCUUUUCCUGAUGAAGGGGUGGACCAAAGAUUGGUAGUAGAUCGAACUGCUGAGUGUGUUGCGUCCAAUGGCUGA
Molecule: ribosomal RNA, 459 nt
Filed under: Triticum aestivum (bread wheat)
Lineage: Eukaryota; Viridiplantae; Streptophyta; Magnoliopsida; Poales; Poaceae
Description: partial small subunit ribosomal RNA
Source: RNAcentral